UUAAGCGACUAAGCGUACACGGUGGAUGCCCUGGCAGUCAGAGGCGAUGAAGGACGUGCUAAUCUGCGAAAAGCGUCGGUAAGGUGAUAUGAACCGUUAUAACCGGCGAUGUCCGAAUGGGGAAACCCAGUGCAAUUCGUUGCACUAUCGUUAACUGAAUACAUAGGUUAACGAGGCGAACCGGGGGAACUGAAACAUCUAAGUACCCCGAGGAAAAGAAAUCAACCGAGAUUCCCCCAGUAGCGGCGAGCGAACGGGGAGCAGCCCAGAGUCUGAAUCAGCUUGUGUGUUAGUGGAACGGUCUGGAAAGUCCGACGGUACAGGGUGAUAGUCCCGUACACCAAAAUGCACAGGCUGUGAACUCGAAGAGUAGGGCGGGACACGUGGUAUCCUGUCUGAAUAUGGGGGGACCAUCCUCCAAGGCUAAAUACUCCUGACUGACCGAUAGUGAACCAGUACCGUGAGGGAAAGGCGAAAAGAACCCCGGCGAGGGGAGUGAAAAAGAACCUGAAACCGUGUACGUACAAGCAGUGGGAGCACCUUCGGGUGUGACUGCGUACCUUUUGUAUAAUGGGUCAGCGACUUAUAUUCUGUAGCAAGGUUAACCGUAUAGGGGAGCCGCAGGGAAACCGAGUCUUAACUGGGCGUUAAGUUGCAGGGUAUAGACCCGAAACCCGGUGAUCUAGCCAUGGGCAGGUUGAAGGUUGGGUAACACUAACUGGAGGACCGAACCGACUAAUGUUGAAAAAUUAGCGGAUGACUUGUGGCUGGGGGUGAAAGGCCAAUCAAACCGGGAGAUAGCUGGUUCUCCCCGAAAGCUAUUUAGGUAGCGCCUCGUGAACUCAUCUUCGGGGGUAGAGCACUGUUUCGGCUAGGGGGUCAUCCCGACUUACCAACCCGAUGCAAACUACGAAUACCGAAGAAUGUUAUCACGGGAGACACACGGCGGGUGCUAACGUCCGUCGUGAAGAGGGAAACAACCCAGACCGCCAGCUAAGGUCCCAAAGUCAUGGUUAAGUGGGAAACGAUGUGGGAAGGCACAGACAGCCAGGAUGUUGGCUUAGAAGCAGCCAUCAUUUAAAGAAAGCGUAAUAGCUCACUGGUCGAGUCGGCCUGCGCGGAAGAUGUAACGGGCUAAACCAUGCACCGAAGCUGCGGCAGCGACACUAUGUGUUGUUGGGUAGGGAGCGUUCUGUAAGCCUGCGAAGGUGACCUGUGAGGGUUGCUGGAGGUAUCAGAAGUGCGAAUGCUGACAUAAGUAACGAUAAAGCGGGUGAAAAGCCCGCUCGCCGGAAGACCAAGGGUUCCUGUCCAACGUUAAUCGGGGCAGGGUGAGUCGACCCCUAAGGCGAGGCCGAAAGGCGUAGUCGAUGGGAAACAGGUUAAUAUUCCUGUACUUGGUGUUACUGCGAAGGGGGGACGGAGAAGGCUAUGUUAGCCGGGCGACGGUUGUCCCGGUUUAAGCAUGUAGGCUGGUUGUCCAGGCAAAUCCGGAUAAUCAAGGCUGAGGUGUGAUGACGAGGUACUACGGUGCUGAAGUAACAAAUGCCCUGCUUCCAGGAAAAGCCUCUAAGCAUCAGGUAACAUCAAAUCGUACCCCAAACCGACACAGGUGGUCAGGUAGAGAAUACCAAGGCGCUUGAGAGAACUCGGGUGAAGGAACUAGGCAAAAUGGUGCCGUAACUUCGGGAGAAGGCACGCUGGUGUGUAGGUGAAGUCCCUGCGGAUGGAGCUGAGACCAGUCGAAGAUACCAGCUGGCUGCAACUGUUUAUUAAAAACACAGCACUGUGCAAACACGAAAGUGGACGUAUACGGUGUGACGCCUGCCCGGUGCCGGAAGGUUAAUUGAUGGGGUUAUCCGUAAGGAGAAGCUCUUGAUCGAAGCCCCGGUAAACGGCGGCCGUAACUAUAACGGUCCUAAGGUAGCGAAAUUCCUUGUCGGGUAAGUUCCGACCUGCACGAAUGGCGUAAUGAUGGCCAGGCUGUCUCCACCCGAGACUCAGUGAAAUUGAACUCGCUGUGAAGAUGCAGUGUACCCGCGGCAAGACGGAAAGACCCCGUGAACCUUUACUAUAGCUUGACACUGAACAUUGAGCCUUGAUGUGUAGGAUAGGUGGGAGGCUUUGAAGCGUGGACGCCAGUCUGCGUGGAGCCAACCUUGAAAUACCACCCUUUAAUGUUUGAUGUUCUAACGUUGGCCCCUGACCGGGGUUGCGGACAGUGUCUGGUGGGUAGUUUGACUGGGGCGGUCUCCUCCCAAAGCGUAACGGAGGAGCACGAAGGUUAGCUAAUCCUGGUCGGACAUCAGGAGGUUAGUGCAAUGGCAUAAGCUAGCUUGACUGCGAGCGUGACGGCGCGAGCAGGUGCGAAAGCAGGUCAUAGUGAUCCGGUGGUUCUGAAUGGAAGGGCCAUCGCUCAACGGAUAAAAGGUACUCCGGGGAUAACAGGCUGAUACCGCCCAAGAGUUCAUAUCGACGGCGGUGUUUGGCACCUCGAUGUCGGCUCAUCACAUCCUGGGGCUGAAGUAGGUCCCAAGGGUAUGGCUGUUCGCCAUUUAAAGUGGUACGCGAGCUGGGUUUAGAACGUCGUGAGACAGUUCGGUCCCUAUCUGCCGUGGGCGCUGGAGAAUUGAGGGGGGCUGCUCCUAGUACGAGAGGACCGGAGUGGACGCAUCACUGGUGUUCGGGUUGUCAUGCCAAUGGCACUGCCCGGUAGCUAAAUGCGGAAGAGAUAAGUGCUGAAAGCAUCUAAGCACGAAACUUGCCCCGAGAUGAGUUCUCCCUGAGACUUUAAGUCUCCUGAAGGAACGUUAAAGACGAUGACGUUGAUAGGCCGGGUGUGUAAGCGCAGCGAUGCGUUGAGCUAACCGGUACUAAUGAACCGUGAGGCUUAACCU
This 2897-nucleotide ribosomal RNA is filed under the name Klebsiella pneumoniae. RNAcentral describes it as "bacterial LSU rRNA". It matches the Rfam family "Bacterial large subunit ribosomal RNA". The record is from RNAcentral. Lineage: Bacteria; Pseudomonadati; Pseudomonadota; Gammaproteobacteria; Enterobacterales; Enterobacteriaceae.